Molecule: ribosomal RNA, 629 nt
Filed under: uncultured bacterium
Lineage: Bacteria
Description: bacterial SSU rRNA
Rfam family: Bacterial small subunit ribosomal RNA
Source: RNAcentral
AAAGGAAGCAAUUCCGGUGACGGAUGGGCAUGCGUCGCAUUAGCUAGUCGGCGGGGUAACGGCCCACCGAGGCGACGAUGCGUAGGGGUUCUGAGAGGAAGGCCCCCCACACUGGUACUGAGACACGGACCAGACUCCUACGGGAGGCAGCAGUGAGGAAUAUUGGUCAAUGGGCUAAGGCCUGAACCAGCCAAGUCGCGUGAGGGAAGACGGUCCUAUGGAUUGUAAACCUCUUUUGUCGGGGAGCAAACGAGGCCACGUGUGGCCGAAGUGAGAGUACCCGAAGAAAAAGCAUCGGCUAACUCCGUGCCAGCAGCCGCGGUAAUACGGAGGAUGCGAGCGUUAUCCGGAUUUAUUGGGUUUAAAGGGUGCGUAGGCGGAACAUUAAGUCAGCGGUAAAAUCGAGGGGCUCAACCCCUUUAAGCCGUUGAAACUGGUGAUCUUGAGUGGGCGAGAAGUAUGCGGAAUGCGUGGUGUAGCGGUGAAAUGCAUAGAUAUCACGCAGAACUCCGAUUGCGAAGGCAGCAUACCGGCGCCCGACUGACGCUGAGGCACGAAAGCGUGGGGAUCGAACAGGAUUAGAUACCCUGGUAGUCCACGCAGUAAACGAAGAGUACUAACUGUCCGGG